AUGCCGGAGCCUGCCCCGGUGAUCAGGCGGAUCCGCAAGGAGCUGAAACAGCUCUGGAUGGACCCGGCGGCGUUCUGCCGGCCCGGCGCGACGCCCGUGACGGACCUGUUUCACUGGGAGGUGAUCAUCGACGGCCCCCACGACAGCCCCUACGCCGGCGGCACGUUCCCCGUCGACGUCGCCUACCCCAAGGACUACCCCUUCAAGCCCAUCAAGCUCACCUUCAAAACCAAGGUGUACCAUCCCAACAUCGGCCCGGAGGGGAAGAUGGCGCUGGACAUCUUCGGGAGGGGGUGGUGGCCUAAUCUCACGAUAAGGACAGUCCUCCUGUCCGUCGUCUCCGUCCUCUACGACCCCCUGCUCGACCUCCCCGUCCGCCACGACGCCGCCCGGCUGUACAAGCGCGAGCGGGGUCUCUAUGAUGAGAAGGCCAGGCGCUGGACCCGCAGGUACGCCUCGGCGCCGGUCGUCUCCUUCUAUCCGGCGGGGAUGGAGCUGUUCGAGGAGCUGCUGGAUGAGGCGGCGAUUAGUGGGGCAGUGGCACGCCGUCGUUCUUGCGGAGCAGGGAAAUGGCGUUUCUUCGGGGGCCGCCUCCUCGGCGCCAUCUAG
Molecule: ribosomal RNA, 609 nt
Filed under: Triticum aestivum (bread wheat)
Lineage: Eukaryota; Viridiplantae; Streptophyta; Magnoliopsida; Poales; Poaceae
Description: partial small subunit ribosomal RNA
Source: RNAcentral